Molecule: long non-coding RNA, 940 nt
Organism: Camelus dromedarius (Arabian camel)
Lineage: Eukaryota; Metazoa; Chordata; Mammalia; Artiodactyla; Camelidae
Exons: 3
Source: RefSeq, a predicted model, not a curated record
AUAUGGGUAACUUUGAUUAACAUGAAAAUAUCACUCUCCAGAUAUCCAGAAAGGAGAACAGAUUGAGGUCAUAGGAGACAGCAGGCACAAGGAGUAGUUAAAAGCCUUCAGCAGUAGUUCAGCAAAAGAGAUAAUCCAUAUGGAAUCAAUGUCAUUUCAGUGGGAACGGAGAACAGAGGGCAGAUACAACACGGGCACAAAUCAAGUAGGGAGGAAUUAAAAGUAAGAGAGAAACAUGUAAUAACUGCAACAUUUUUGUCUUUUAUAACUGCAUCUAUGGCAGUGAGGUUCUUAGAGGAAAUGUAGAAGGAAAAACAAAUUAAGCAGAAAGAUAACGAGAUCAGUUUUGGAUGUCAUGGAUAUGAGAUGCUGACUUCUAGAGCCCAGAAGAGAGAUUAUAGGUAUGGAUCUAAUUUGCCAAGAAGCAGAAUGUCAGUGGUAAGUAACGAAAGCCAACAGUGACAGAGUAAAGACUAGUCAGGAUAGAGCCUGCAGAGUGAUCAGAUAAGAGAGUCAACAGCUCACCUCCGGACAAUGCCAACGUUCAAGAGCAAAGACAAGACACUGCAAAAGAGAAUGAAAAGAGACAGAGAGAGAUGCAGGUGCCAAAACACAGUGGUACCUCGGAGUCCAGGGGAAAGAAGAGUGUCAACACGAGAGGAGUCUGCAACGUCCGUGUGAAAGAGAAACAAGUGGUCCAGGAGCACCCAAGAAGGCCGCAGAGUUAGCUGAGAGAAAACCAGACUCAGAGAGGCCUCUCAGCAAGAUGGUGACCCUGACGUGAUAUCAGACUCGGCAAACACAUAAAUGGAACUAAGGAAAUUUUGGGGGACUUUUCAGCCUAUCAGGCGUGCCGAGGAAUUCUCAUGGAGCAACAGCUUACUAAGCAGCAGCAUGAUAUCAGCGCGGCGACUACAUGUAAGUAAAGGAACAAAUUUAU